AACGCGAAAAUCCCGCAAGGGAUUAGUAGAGUGGCAAACGGGUGAGUAACGCGUGGGUGACCUGCCUUCGAGCGGGGGAUAACGUUCCGAAAGGGACGCUAAUACCGCAUAACAUCCUGCCUUUGAAGAGGUGGAGAUCAAAGCUGGGGAUCGCAAGACCUAGCACUUGAAGAGGGGCCCGCGUCUGAUUAGCUAGUUGGUGAGGUAACGGCUCACCAAGGCUUCGAUCAGUAUCCGGCCUGAGAGGGCGGACGGACACACUGGGACUGAGACACGGCCCAGACUCCUACGGGAGGCAGCAGUGGGGAAUUGUUCGCAAUGGGCGCAAGCCUGACGACGCAACGCCGCGUGGAGGAUGAAGAUUUUCGGAUCGUAAACUCCUGUCGAACGGGACGAAUAGAUCAUGGGUUAACAGCCCGUAGUCCUGACGGUACCGUUAAAGGAAACCCCGGCUAACUCCGUGCCAGCAGCCGCGGUAAUACGGGGGGGGUAAGCGUUGUCCGGAAUUACUGGGCGUAAAGGGCUCGUAGGCGGCCAACUAAGUCGGACGUGAAAUCCCUCAGCUUAACUGGGGAACUGCGUCCGAUACUGGAUGGCUUGGAUUCGGGAGAGGAAUGCGGAAUUCCAGGUGUAGCGGUGAAAUGCGUAGAUAUCUGGAGGAACACCGGUGGCGAAGGCGGCAUUCUGGACCGACAUUGACGCU
RNAcentral lists this ribosomal RNA (703 nucleotides) under uncultured bacterium. RNAcentral describes it as "bacterial SSU rRNA". It matches the Rfam family "Bacterial small subunit ribosomal RNA", at positions 65 to 747 of the family's 1533-position model. The record is from RNAcentral.